AGAUCGCGGCCGCAGCCGCCUAGGUGGCGGCCGCUCAUGUGCCCCCUCCAGGGGGU
RNAcentral lists this antisense RNA (56 nucleotides) under Thermoproteus tenax Kra 1. Its description in RNAcentral is "Pyrobaculum asRNA3". It matches the Rfam family "Pyrobaculum asRNA3". From Rfam's summary of the family: Binds to the 3'-end of the tpi gene (triose-phosphate-isomerse). The tpi mRNA has a conserved structural element located close to the stop codon. Lineage: Archaea; Thermoproteati; Thermoproteota; Thermoprotei; Thermoproteales; Thermoproteaceae. The record is from Rfam by way of RNAcentral.